AUGGCGUCCGGCGGCGGCGCGGACGUGCCGGAGUCGGAGGUGGUGACACUGCGGUUCGCCCGGCAGGUGGUGGCGGGGCGGUGGUUCAUGGCGCUCGCGUGCCUGCUCAUCCUGUCCGCGUCGGGGGCGACCUACGCCUUCGGCAUCUACUCCACGGCGCUCAAGUCGUCGCUGGGCUACGACCAGCGCACGCUCAACACGCUCGCCUUCUUCAAGGACCUCGGCAGCAACGUCGGCGUCGUCGCCGGGCUCCUCAACGAGGCCGCGCCGCCCUCGGCCGUGCUCGCCGUCGGCGCGGCCAUGAACCUCGCCGGCUACCUCAUGGUCUACCUCGCCGUCGCCGGCCGGACCUUGCGCCCGCCGCUCUGGCUCAUGUGCACCUACGUCUGCGCUGGGGCCAAAUCGCAGUCCUUCGCCGGCACCGGCGCGCUCAUCACCUGCGUCAAGAGCUUUCCAGGGAGUGGCCGCGGGGUCGUGCUGGGCCUGCUCAAAGGCUACGUCGGCCUCAGCGGCACCAUCUUCACGCAGCUCUACCUCGCCAUCUACGGCGGGGACGACUCCAAGUCCAUCCUGCUGCUCAUCGCCUGGCUCCCCGCAGCCGUAUCCGUCGUCUUCCUCCCCGUCGUUCGCGUGAAGCCGCCGCCGCCUAGACGAAGCGCCGGCGCUAACGACGAUGGCGCUUUCUUCUGCUUCCUCUACAUCUCCGUCGCCCUCGCCUCCUACAUACUCGUGAUGAUCGUCGUCCAGAAGCAGAGCAGCUUCUCGCACGCUGCCUACGCCGCGUCGGCCACCGCGCUGCUCAUUCUCCUCAUCCUUCCCCUGCUCUCCGUCGUCGUCCGGCAGGUGUACUACUACUACUACUGGCUCUACAAAAGAGAGCUCCAGCAAGAGCCUCCGCCGGAGCCCCCGACAUCGACAUCGACAUCGACAUGGGUGACCGCCGAGAAGCCAACCGCUCAAGUCGUGCAAGUGGUAGAGCAUCCGCCGCCGACGUCGCCGUCGUCUUCUUCUUGCCUCGGCUCUUGCUUGAAGCACAUGUUCAACCCGCCGGCGCACGGGGAGGACUACUCCAUCCCUCAGGCGCUAGUGAGCGUGGACAUGCUGGUGCUGUUCCUGGCCACCAUCUGCGGCGUGGGCGGGACGCUGACGGCGAUCGACAACAUAGGCCAGAUCGGGCAGUCGCUGGGGUACCCGGCACAGAGCAUCAACACCUUGGUCUCCCUCGUCAGCGUCUGGAACUAUGCCGGACGGGUCACGGCCGGGUUCGCGUCCGAGGCCCUGCUGGCGCGGUACGGCGUCCCGCGGCCGCUCGCGCUCACGCUGGUGCUCCUCCUCUCCUGCGCCGGCCACCUACUGAUCGCCCUCGCCGUGCCGUGGUCGCUCUACGCCGCCUCCAUGAUCGUCGGCUUCUGCUUCGGCGCGCAGUGGCCGCUCAUCUACGCCAUCAUCUCCGAGGUGUUCGGGCUGAGGUACUACGCCACGCUCUACAACCUGGGCGCCGCGGCCAGCCCCGUGGGCGCCUACCUGCUCAACGUGUGCGUCGCCGGGCGGCUCUACGACGCGGAGGCGGCGAGGCAGCGCGGGGACGGCGAGAGCAGGACGUGCAUGGGCGUGCGUUGCUUCAGGGAGUCGUUCCUCAUCGUAACGGCCGUCACCGUGGGCGGCGCGCUCGUGUCGCUGGUGCUGGUGUGGAGGACGUGGAGCUUCUACAAGGGAGACAUCUACGCCAAGUUCAGGGAUGCCGUGGCCGUCCAGGACUCAUCCGACGGUGGUUGCGCGGUUGAGCAGCGGCCGCAGGAGCCGAGUCAACACCGGUAA
This 1818-nucleotide ribosomal RNA is filed under the name Triticum aestivum (bread wheat). RNAcentral's name for it is "partial small subunit ribosomal RNA". Lineage: Eukaryota; Viridiplantae; Streptophyta; Magnoliopsida; Poales; Poaceae. The record is from RNAcentral.